Molecule: RNA transcript, 2793 nt
Organism: Megalobrama amblycephala (Wuchang bream)
Lineage: Eukaryota; Metazoa; Chordata; Actinopteri; Cypriniformes; Xenocyprididae
Gene name: TBC1 domain family member 24-like
Exons: 7
Source: RefSeq, a predicted model, not a curated record
GUGUCUCAGGGCAUCACAAAGAGAACAACAAACCUACUGUGAACUUCACUUUUUUGUCUUUGUUAUGUGAACUGGUGAGGCCAUGCUUCAGGUUGCUUCAAAUGUUGCAUGUGCCCAUUUUGGCUCCACAAAUGUGAAUGUCCGGAACGUGGAGGGUGGCAGUAGUACACAGCUUGCAGACCGGACAAAUUGUGGCAGACUACGUUCUCGAUCUCUUUUCAGUUCUAUCGAGGCAAAACACUCAACGGGAGAGACUGAUAAGGACAGAAGCCACACUAGACCUCGUUCAAGAUCCUUUUAUGUUUGUGACACAGAUGAUGAGGGACCAGGUAAUUUUAGCAGAUGCAAUGCUCUCAGACCAAGAUCAAGAUCACUACACCGUGAGGAUGGGAAAAGAAACACUGGUGGGACAUGUAUCACUGCAAAGCCUCCAAUAAAAAGACCUAAAGGAAACUCAAGCAAAUGGGCCAGCAAGGAUCUUGCAGGAAAUAAAGGAAGUUUAAAGGGCGUACCCAUGAUGACCAUUUCUGAGGUGGAUAACUGGGAGAUAAGCUCUUCUUCUAGGAUGAAAUACGGUCAGUAUGUAGACUGGGAAAAGAUUUACCCAGAGGCAGCCAUCCGUUACCGGAAGAUCCUCUCAAGUGACCAUUAUGAGCUCAAAGCAAUGGGUCGCACAGGAUUCUGGUCCAUGCCUCAUACUCUCAGAGCCAAGGCCUUCCAGCACAUCAUCCAUAACAUUGAGACCACAUCCACCAACGCUGAUGUGGACACUUACCAUGGCCUAGUUGGGAAGCUCUUUGGGGAUUUUCAAACAAGCACGCACCCUUUCCCAAAGUUUAUGGAGGAUGGGGAAAUUCCCAGAUACUGCCUAAAUAAAGCAGGUCUGAAUUCAGUGAAAAAAAUUCUCAUUUGUAUAAAUCACCAUUUUCCUGAUGUCACCUUCUGUCCCAUCUUGCCCGCUCUGGUGUCCCUUCUGUUGCACUUCAGUGAGGAUGAAGCCCAGUGCUUCCACAGUAUUUGUUCCCUGGUGACCUACACAGAUUCUAAAAAGCGUUACAUCGACCAGACUUUCCUCACUUCACGUGCUUCAUGCAUGACCUUUGGUGACCUUGCCAAUAAAUACUGCAGGGGCAUCCGGAAGCUAAUAGCUAGCUCUCACCAGAACCUGUUUGAGUUCUACUCUGACUGGAUCAUGUGGAUCUUUGCUGAUCUACCUUUUAUAUACGCCAUCAGAGUGCUGGAUGUCUAUCUCAUGGAGGGCUACAAAGUUUUAUACCGUGUAGCUCUUGCUCUACUCAGCCUUUACAAAGUCUCGGUGUCCUCACGAGUGGCCCACGUCGAUGACUUCAGACAAGACAUUAAGAGUUUUGUGCAGAGUGUGGCACGGCACAGUACUAUUGAUGAACUGCUUCAGAGGGCUUUUAAAAUACAGCUGCCCACACGCAAAGAACUAACUUAUCUUUUCAAUGCCAACAAGCACGCACUAAUUCAUAAGGACAUCCACAAUAAGAGUUCAUACCAAGCUAUGGAUUUUCGGAACUUCAGCUCCUCUGUAGUGACUGAAACAGAGAUGAGGGUGGUCUGGGCUUGGAUUCCAGAGCGAUUUGCUCUAUUCAGUCCUGUGCAACUAUUUAGUACAAAUGUUCAUGGCAGAAGUCUCUCCUCGUUUUAUUCCAAGGUUGAGGGGCAUGAUCCAACUGUUUUACUCUUGAAAACUACAGAUGAGGAGAUUUGUGGAGCAUUCUUGUCUUCUGAUUGGGCUCACAAGAAUUGCUAUGAAAAGGGAUUGAAGUUCUUUGGCACAGGAGAGUGCUUUGUUUUCACUGUGACUACGACCGGGAAUGGAGCGGUACCAGCGUACAGUGCUGCAGAUCUCUGGAAUGUCUGACAAAAGUGAUUCCUCUCACGAUCAAACUCUCUCCACUAGCUCUCGAAUAAACACUUGUGUUGACAGACUAAGUGCAACCUCUCAGGACCAGAGAUACGAGUCUGCUUCAUUCUGCACAUUGUCAACUGCCAAAUUCAUGGCAGGAGAUGAUGAGACACUUUUUAUUGGUGGCGACGGUGGCCAUGCGCUCUACCUGCAGGCUGAUCUGACAGCUGGCUGUUCUGAACACUGUGAUACAUUUGAGAGUCCACCUCUCUGCAGGGGAUGCUUCAAGAUCCAGUCUCUAGAGGUGUGGGGUAUCCAGCAUUCUUUGUCUGUUCCACCACUGCUUUCACAUUGAAGACAUUAGGAGGGCUGUGGAGGAAUGUGUCAAAAUAUAUCAAAGGUCACACUGGCAAAAUGACAUCAUGCCUUAAGACAAAACCAAGGAUAUUGUGUAGUGUAGGACGUAUGUACACUGUUGCAAUACUGUUGCAAAAAAAAACAAAAAAAAACAACAACUGUAAAUAUCAUUUAAGAUUCAAAUUUCCACAAUGUUAUUUAUUUAUAUUUUCAAAGACUUUUUUUAUUAUAUGCCUUGUUAGAUUAUUUUUGUAAUAUUUGUAGUCCUGUCAUUCACUGUAUUUCUGUAAUAACUGCAGUUUUUAAAGACAGUAUUCAAAUAGCAGUUUGUUGAAUUUUAAUAAACAUUCAAAUCAAAAAAAUGUUUUAAAUAAAAAUAGAACUUUUUCACCAAAGAGAUGCAACUGAAGUUGAAUCAUGGCUGUGGUAAAUAAAGUGGAUAUAAAAAAAAAACGGAGUGAAAAUGUUGAAAUGUAAGCUGAGUAAAAUACUGAGGCCUGUAACAGAAAGUUGCAUUUGGCUAAGUUUGAGCAAAUUCUGGAAGGAAUUCUGGAUUGGUUUUU